UACGUAGGUGGCGAGCGUUAUCCGGAAUUAUUGGGCGUAGAGAGCGCGCAGGUGGUUGAUUAAGUCUGAUGUGAAAGCCCACGGCUUAACCGUGGAGGGUCAUUGGAAACUGGUCGACUUGAGUGCAGAAGAGGGAAGUGGAAUUCCAUGUGUAGCGGUGAAAUGCGUAGAGAUAUGGAGGAACACCAGUGGCGAAGGCGGCUUCCUGGUCUGUAACUGACACUGAGGCGCGAAAGCGUGGGGAGCAAACAGGAUUAGA
Molecule: ribosomal RNA, 259 nt
Filed under: uncultured prokaryote
Description: partial 16S ribosomal RNA
Rfam family: Bacterial small subunit ribosomal RNA
Source: RNAcentral